This 237-nucleotide long non-coding RNA is filed under the name Erythranthe guttata (spotted monkey flower). RNAcentral's name for it is "long non-coding RNA (EGUT_LNC003125)". The record is from RNAcentral. Lineage: Eukaryota; Viridiplantae; Streptophyta; Magnoliopsida; Lamiales; Phrymaceae.
AAUUUUAGUUUCCAUCAAUAAACUUUACACGUGCCUCAAACCUUCACACAAUGUCCUAUUUUGACGGCGGUGGCGGCCACAAGGCGAGCAAGAGAAGAGAAAAGAACAAAAAGAUGCAAUUGUUGGACUAGCAGGUUCGGCCGUCAAACUCGUCGCCGUCGAGAGAAAUCGUUUGGAGAUGUUGUAGAUAGGCCGUUGCUGUAAUUGGGGCUGGGGUUAGCCUCGGGUUGUGCGGAU